UGAGUAAUGUCUGGGAAACUGCCUGAUGGAGGGGGGAUAACUACUGGAAACGGUAGCUAAUACCGCAUAACGUCGCAAGACCAAAGAGGGGGGACCUUUGGGCCUCUUGCCAUCAGAUGUGCCCAGAUGGGAUUAGCUAGUAGGUGGGGUAACGGCUCACCUAGGCGACGAUCCCUAGCUGGUCUGAGAGGAUGACCAGCCACACUGGAACUGAGACACGGUCCAGACUCCUACGGGAGGCAGCAUG
Molecule: ribosomal RNA, 247 nt
Filed under: uncultured bacterium
Lineage: Bacteria
Description: partial 16S ribosomal RNA
Rfam family: Bacterial small subunit ribosomal RNA
Source: RNAcentral